This 319-nucleotide ribosomal RNA is filed under the name uncultured Polaribacter sp. RNAcentral describes it as "bacterial SSU rRNA". It matches the Rfam family "Bacterial small subunit ribosomal RNA", at positions 144 to 462 of the family's 1533-position model. Lineage: Bacteria; Pseudomonadati; Bacteroidota; Flavobacteriia; Flavobacteriales; Flavobacteriaceae. The record is from RNAcentral.
UAGCCUUUAGAAAUGAAGAUUAAUGCCUCAUAGUAUUGAGUAUUGGCAUGAAUAUAUAAUUAAAGAUUUAUCGGUAAAAGAUGGCUAUGCGUCCUAUUAGUUAGUUGGUAAGGUAACGGCUUACCAAGACAGCGAUAGGUAGGGGUCCUGAGAGGGAGAUCCCCCACACUGGUACUGAGACACGGACCAGACUCCUACGGGAGGCAGCAGUGAGGAAUAUUGGACAAUGGAGGAGACUCUGAUCCAGCCAUGCCGCGUGUAGGAAGAAUGCCCUAUGGGUUGUAAACUACUUUUAUACAGGAAAGAACACUGGUAUGUA